This 398-nucleotide ribosomal RNA is filed under the name uncultured bacterium. Its description in RNAcentral is "partial 16S ribosomal RNA". It matches the Rfam family "Bacterial small subunit ribosomal RNA", at positions 523 to 918 of the family's 1533-position model. The record is from RNAcentral.
AUACGUAGGGUGCGAGCGUUGUCCGGAAUUACUGGGCGUAAAGAGCUCGUAGGUGGUUUGUCGCGUCGUCUGUGAAAUUCCGGGGCUUAACUCCGGGCGUGCAGGCGAUAUGGGCAUAACUUGAGUACUGUAGGGGAGACUGGAAUUCCUGGUGUAGCGGUGAAAUGCGCAGAUAUCAGGAGGAACACCGGUGGCGAAGGCGGGUCUCUGGGCAGUAGCUGACGCUGAGGAGCGAAAGCAUGGGUAGCGAACAGGAUUAGAUCCCCUGGUAGUCCAUGCCGUAAACGGUGGGCGCUAGGUGUAGGGGUCUUCCACGACUUCUGUGCCGUAGCUAACGCAUUAAGCGCCCCGCCUGGGGAGUACGGCCGCAAGGCUAAAACUCAAAUGAAUUGACGGGG